UGAGGAAUAUUGGUCAAUGGGCGAGAGCCUGAACCAGCCAAGUCGCGUGAAGGAAGACAGUCCUAAGGAUUGUAAACUUCUUUUAUACGGGAAUAACGGGCGAUACGAGUAUUGCAUUGAAUGUACCGUAAGAAUAAGCAUCGGCUAACUCCGUGCCAGCAGCCGCGGUAAUACGGAGGAUGCGAGCGUUAUCCGGAUUUAUUGGGUUUAAAGGGUGCGUAGGUUGUUCGGUAAGUCAGCGGUGAAACCUGAGCGCUCAACGUUCAGCCUGCCGUUGAAACUGCCGGGCUUGAGUUCAGUGGCGGCAGGCGGAAUUCGUGGUGUAGCGGUGAAAUGCAUAGAUAUCACGAGGAACUCCGAUUGCGAAGGAAGCUUGCCAUACUGCGACUGACACUGAAGCACGAAGGCGUGGGUAUCAAACAGG
This 424-nucleotide ribosomal RNA is filed under the name Fusobacteriota bacterium. RNAcentral's name for it is "Fusobacteria bacterium partial 16S ribosomal RNA". It matches the Rfam family "Bacterial small subunit ribosomal RNA", at positions 355 to 776 of the family's 1533-position model. The record is from RNAcentral. Lineage: Bacteria; Fusobacteriati; Fusobacteriota.